UACAGAGGGGGCAAGCGUUGUUCGGAAUUACUGGGCGUAAAGGGCGCGUAGGCGGCCCGCUAAGUCGAACGUGAAAUCCCCGGGCUCAACCCGGGAACUGCGUCCGAUACUGGUGGGCUUGAAUCCGGGAGAGGGAUGCGGAAUUCCAGGUGUAGCGGUGAAAUGCGUAGAUAUCUGGAGGAACACCGGUGGCGAAGGCGGCAUCCUGGACCGGUAUUGACGCUGAGACGCGAAAGCGUGGGGAGCGAACAGG
RNAcentral lists this ribosomal RNA (253 nucleotides) under uncultured bacterium. Its description in RNAcentral is "partial 16S ribosomal RNA". It matches the Rfam family "Bacterial small subunit ribosomal RNA", at positions 524 to 776 of the family's 1533-position model. The record is from RNAcentral.